This 491-nucleotide ribosomal RNA is filed under the name uncultured bacterium. RNAcentral describes it as "partial 16S ribosomal RNA". It matches the Rfam family "Bacterial small subunit ribosomal RNA", at positions 29 to 506 of the family's 1533-position model. The record is from RNAcentral.
AGUGAACGCUGGCGGUAGGCCUAACACAUGCAAGUCGAACGGCAGCACAGUAAGAGCUUGCUCUUACGGGUGGCGAGUGGCGGACGGGUGAGGAAUACAUCGGAAUCUACUUUUUCGUGGGGGAUAACGUAGGGAAACUUACGCUAAUACCGCAUACGACCUACGGGUGAAAGCAGGGGAUCUUCGGACCUUGCGCGAUUGAAUGAGCCGAUGUCGGAUUAGCUAGUUGGCGGGGUAAAGGCCCACCAAGGCGACGAUCCGUAGCUGGUCUGAGAGGAUGAUCAGCCACACUGGAGCUGAGACACGGUCCAGACUCCUACGGGAGGCAGCAGUGGGGAAUAUUGGACAAUGGGCACAAGCCUGAUCCAGCCAUACCGCGUGGGCGAAGAAGGCCUUCGGGUUGUAAAGCCCUUUUGUUGGGAAAGAAAAGCAGCAGGUUAAUACCCCGCUGUUCUGACGGUACCCAAAGAAUAAGCACCGGCUAACUUCGU